GACGAACGCUGGCGGCGUGCUUAACACAUGCAAGUCGAACGGUAAGGCCCUUCGGGGUACACGAGUGGCGAACGGGUGAGUAACACGUGGGUGAUCUGCCCUGCACUUCGGGAUAAGCCUGGGAAACUGGGUCUAAUACCGGAUAGGACCACUGCCUGCAUGGGUGGUGGUGGAAAGCUUUUGCGGUGUGGGAUGGGCCCGCGGCCUACCAGCGUGUUGGUGGGGUGAUGGCAUAUCAAGGCGACGACGGGUAGCCGGCCUGAGAGGGUGACCGGCCACACUGGGACGGGAAGACGGCCCAGACUCCUACGGGAGGCAGCAGUGGGGAAUAUCGCACAAUGGGCGCAAGCCUGAUGCAGCGACGCCGCGUGAGGGAUGACGGCCUUCGGGUUGUAAACCUCUUUCAGCACCGACGAAGCGCAAGUGACGGUAGGUGCAGAAGAAGGACCGGCCAACUACAUGCCAGCCGCGGUAAGAC
RNAcentral lists this ribosomal RNA (478 nucleotides) under uncultured bacterium. RNAcentral describes it as "partial 16S ribosomal RNA". It matches the Rfam family "Bacterial small subunit ribosomal RNA", at positions 28 to 526 of the family's 1533-position model. The record is from RNAcentral.